RNAcentral lists this ribosomal RNA (452 nucleotides) under Vermetus triquetrus. RNAcentral's name for it is "partial 12S ribosomal RNA". It matches the Rfam family "Microsporidia small subunit ribosomal RNA", at positions 416 to 1304 of the family's 1311-position model. The record is from RNAcentral. Lineage: Eukaryota; Metazoa; Mollusca; Gastropoda; Littorinimorpha; Vermetidae.
UCAGGGGGUGUAAAUGAUAAAGACCGGGGUACUACGAGCUAGUAUUGCUUAAAACUCAAAGAACUUGGCGGUGCCACUAUCCAGUUAGGGGAGCUUGUCCCAUAAUCGAUGAUCCACGGUGUACCUUACCUUUUGCAAGUAGCGUCUUCAGUUUGUAUACCGUCGUCAUUCAGUUAACUUUGGCAAGAAAAAAUCAGUUGGCAGUGAAGUAUAAAUUUACCUUGUAUGUCAGAUCAAGGUGCAGCUAAUGCAGAGGCGAGGAUGAGCUACAGUUACGAAGUUGUAAUUACGAAUCAUAUAUUGAAAUAUAUAUGUGAAGGAGGACUUAAAAGUAAUAGGAUCAAGAAAAACCCUAUGAAUAGAGUUCAGUGGCGUGUACAUAUCGCCCGUCGCUCUCGUUGAAAAAUGAGAUAAGUCGUAACAUAGUAGGGGUAGUGGAAAUUGUUCCUGGC